RNAcentral lists this small RNA (132 nucleotides) under Escherichia coli. Its description in RNAcentral is "RtT sRNA". It matches the Rfam family "RtT RNA". Rfam says of the family: This family represents a bacterial cis-regulatory element known as RtT RNA. The record is from RNAcentral. Lineage: Bacteria; Pseudomonadati; Pseudomonadota; Gammaproteobacteria; Enterobacterales; Enterobacteriaceae.
UAUUCUGCCAUGCGGGGAAGGAUGAGAAGCUUCGACCAAGGUUCGACUCGAGCGCCAGCGAGAGAGCGUUGCCGCAGGCAACGACCCGAAGGGCGAAGCGCGCAGCGCUGAGUAAUCCUUCCCCCACCACCA